Molecule: ribosomal RNA, 433 nt
Filed under: uncultured bacterium
Lineage: Bacteria
Description: partial 16S ribosomal RNA
Rfam family: Bacterial small subunit ribosomal RNA
Source: RNAcentral
AACGAACGCUGGCGGCAUGCCUAACACAUGCAAGUCGAACGAGACCUUCGGGUCUAGUGGCGCAUGGGUGCGUAACGCGUGGGAACCUGCCCUUAGGUUCGGAAUAACUCCCCGAAAGGGGUGCUAAUAUCGGAUAAUGUCCUCGGACCAAAGAUUUAUCGACUUUGGAUGGGCCCGAGUUGGAUUAGCCGGUGGGUAGGGUAAAAGCCUAUCAAGGCGACGAUCCAUAGCUGGGCUGAGAGAAUGGUCAGCCACACUGGGACUGGGACACGGCCGGGAAUCCUACGGGAGGCGGCAGAGGCGGAUAUAGGACAAUGGGGGGAAGCAUGAUGGAGCAAGGCCGCGUGAGUGAUGAAGGCCGUAGGGUAGUGAAGCACUUUUACCCGGGAUGAUAAUGACGGUACCGGGAGAAUAAGCUCCGGCUAACUCCGUG